This 180-nucleotide ribosomal RNA is filed under the name uncultured bacterium. RNAcentral describes it as "partial 16S ribosomal RNA". It matches the Rfam family "Bacterial small subunit ribosomal RNA", at positions 333 to 508 of the family's 1533-position model. The record is from RNAcentral.
AGACUCCUACGGGAGGCAGCAGUGAGGAAUAUUGGUCAAUGGGCGAGAGCCUGAACCAGCCAAGUAGCGUGCAGGAAGACGGCCCUAUGGGUUGUAAAACUGCUUUUAUACGGGGGAUAAAGUGAGCCACGUGUGGCUUAUUGCAGGUACCGUAUGAAUAAGGACCGGCUAAUUCCGUGC